This is a long non-coding RNA of Neopsephotus bourkii (Bourke's parrot), 774 nucleotides long. RefSeq lists it as uncharacterized. The record is from RefSeq and is a predicted model, not a curated record. NCBI's taxonomy places the organism in Eukaryota, Metazoa, Chordata, Aves, Psittaciformes, Psittacidae. The transcript has 3 exons.
AGGGAGAAGGCUAUGGUUAAAAUUCUUAAUCCCCAGAGCAAACAUCAAACAGGUCAUUCAAAAAGAAAAAAAAAUCCCAUCACUGUGUAGGUAGCAUCGGGAAGAGCUCCUGUGCUGUUCCUGACUGAAGUAAAGCAUGACGAAGAGCACUUGACUGUCUCCUGAGAGCUCCUGAGCCUGUCUCCUGAGAGAUCUGUGACUGAGAACAGCAUCAGUGAAGGUCCGAUCUUUGAAGAAGAAACAGCCUUCUAGCUUGGUUUCUAGGGAAGAAGCCACUACAGCAAUGCACAAUGGCAGAAGUCCUGCAGCCCAUGCAGGUGAGCAUGACUGAAGACAAGUGAGCCAAGAACAUUUCCAUCCUUCCUUGCUGUGACAGCCUUGACUGAAUCCAAGCAGGACAAAGACUAAUUGUAUUUUCUAUCAUUUUCCAUGUUACUGAUGGUGUCAUUCGCAGAGCAUCUUUGCUUCCCCUUAGCUCAAAGGCAGCGUGCUACCACCAGGAAAGAAGGGGCAUCAGGAGCAAAUGCUGAUGUACUGCGGGAGAGCAGGUACCAAUGGAGAAGUGUCAUUUCAGUACAACACCUUUACACUUCAGCGGCACAUCUAAGUUGAUUCCACAAGCAAGAGCCAAAGCAGUCUGGCAACAAUCCUGCUAAGAAGUUCACACUAUGUGUCCUUUACACAGUUUUUUUUCUCUUUGUUGGGUCUUGAGUACUUUGCCAAAGGGCUGUCUCCUGUUAACAGCCAUCCUCCUCCUGAGGCUAGCCGGGCAGC